Molecule: ribosomal RNA, 360 nt
Filed under: uncultured eukaryote
Lineage: Eukaryota
Description: bacterial SSU rRNA
Rfam family: Eukaryotic small subunit ribosomal RNA
Source: RNAcentral
CAAUAGCGUAUAUUAAAGUUGUUGCGGUUAAAAGCUCGUAGUUGGAUUUCUGCUGAGGACGACCGGUCCGCCCUCUGGGUGAGUAUCUGGCUUGGCCUGGGCAUCUUCUUGGAGAACGUAGCUGCACUUGACUGUGUGGUGCGGUAUCCAGGACUUUUACUUUGAGGAAAUUAGAGUGUUUAAAGCAGGCAUUUGCUAUGAAUACAUUAGCAUGGAAUAAUAAUCUAGGACUUCGGUUCUAUUUGUUGGUUUCUUAGAUCUGAAGUAAUGAUUGAUAGGGAGUAGUUGGGGGUUGGCUAGUAUUAAGGGGCCGAGAGGUGGAAAUUACUUGGAUUCUCUUAAGACUAACUUAUGCGAAAG